AGCCCUCUUGUUUGCAUAUCGAGAAGCAAAACUGAAGCAGCGGUCAUGUUUCCCUCCUUUUCAUAAGCUCUAAUCAGUAGAUUAAAAAAGCCAAAUCAGGACAUAUUCUACUUCUCAACAUUUCAUCGAAAACUUGUAAGCCUCGACCAUCAAACCCUUGCUAACUAACCCGUAAAUCAAUGUUGUGUAGGUUAACAAAUCGAGCUCGAGACCCUCUUGAACCAUUUUGGUUUUUAACUUAAACGCAUCCACCAAGUUCCCUUGCUUACAGAUGCCCUUUACUAUAUUCGCCCAUAUUUGAGGAUAGAACAGCUGCUGAUGCUCAUAGCUCAAAUCAUAAGUAAGUUCAAGAACAGCUCACUUCAUUGUCACAUUGUUUGCUGCAAUCUCCAUCACUUACUGCUGUUGCAAGCCCUCUUGUUUGCAUAUCGAGAAGCAAAUCCGAAGCAGCAGUCAUGUUUCCCUCCUUUUUAUAAGCUCUAAUCAGUAGAUCAAAAACAGCCAAAUCAGGACAUAUUCCACUUCUCAACAUUUCAUCAAAAACUUGUCUAGCCUCGACCAUCAAACCCUUGCUAGCUAACCCAUAAAUCAAUGUUGUGUAGGUUAACAAAUCGAGCUCGAGACCCUCUUGAACCAUUUUGGUUUUUAACUUAAACGCAUCCACCA
Molecule: long non-coding RNA, 666 nt
Filed under: Capsella rubella
Lineage: Eukaryota; Viridiplantae; Streptophyta; Magnoliopsida; Brassicales; Brassicaceae
Description: long non-coding RNA (CRUB_LNC002417)
Source: RNAcentral